Molecule: unclassified non-coding RNA, 405 nt
Filed under: soil metagenome
Description: partial contains 5.8S ribosomal RNA, internal transcribed spacer 2, and large subunit ribosomal RNA
Rfam family: 5.8S ribosomal RNA (bases 1-121)
Source: RNAcentral
GAUGAAGAACGUAGCGAAAUGCGAUAAGUAAUGUGAAUUGCAGAAUUCAGUGAAUCAUCGAAUCUUUGAACGCACCUUGCGCCCUUUGGACAUUCCGAAGGGCAUGCCUGUUUGAGUAUCAUGAACACCUCAACUCUCACGGCUUGUCCGUGAUGAGCUUGGACUUUGGGGGUCUUGCCGGCCUGUGGUCGGCUCCUCUCAAAUGGAUCAGCUUGCCAGUGUUUGGUGGCAUCACAGGUGUGAUAACUAUCUGCGCUUGUGGUUUUCCAUUAGAUAACCUUCAGUGAUAUGGAGGUUCGCUGGAGCUCACAAAUGUCUCUCCUUAGUGAGGACAGCUCUUUGAACGUUUGAUCUCAAAUCAGGUAGGACUACCCGCUGAACUUAAGCAUAUCAAUAAGCGGAGGA